RNAcentral lists this ribosomal RNA (556 nucleotides) under uncultured bacterium. RNAcentral's name for it is "bacterial SSU rRNA". It matches the Rfam family "Bacterial small subunit ribosomal RNA", at positions 777 to 1327 of the family's 1533-position model. The record is from RNAcentral.
AAUAGAUACCCAGGUAGUCCACGCCGUAAAACGAUGAGUGCUAAGUGUUGGGGGGUUUCCGCCCCUCAGUGCUGCAGCUAACGCAUUAAGCACUCCGCCUGGGGAGUACGGUCGCAAGACUGAAACUCAAAGGAAUUGACGGGGGCCCGCACAAGCGGUGGAGCAUGUGGUUUAAUUCGAAGCAACGCGAAGAACCUUACCAGGUCUUGACAUCCCGGUGACCACUAUGGAGACAUAAGUUUCCCCUUCGGGGGCAACGGUGACAGGUGGUGCAUGGUUGUCGUCAGCUCGUGUCGUGAGAUGUUGGGUUAAGUCCCGCAACGAGCGCAACCCUUAUUCUUAGUUGCCAUCAUUCAGUUGGGCACUCUAAGGAGACUGCCGGUGAUAAACCGGAGGAAGGUGGGGAUGACGUCAAAGUCAUCAUGCCCCUUAUGACCCGGGCUACACACGUGCUACAAUGGACCGGUACAAACGGUUGCCAACCCGCGAGGGGGAGCUAAUCCGAUAAAACCGUUCUCAGUUCGGAUUGUAGCUGACAACUCGCCUACAUGGAACG